GACGAACGCUGGCGGCGUGCUUAACACAUGCAAGUCGAACGGAAAGGCCCUGCUUUUGUGGGUUUCUCGAGUGGCGAACGGGUGUGUAACACGUGAGUAACCUGCCCUUGACUUUGGGAUAACUUCAGGAAACUGGGGCUAAUACCGGAUAUGAGCUCCUGCUGCAUGGUGGGGGUUGGAAAGUUUCGGCGGUUGGGGAUGGACUCGCGGCUUAUCAGCUUGUUGGUGGGGUAGUGGCUUACCAAGGCUUUGACGGGUAGCCGGCCUGAGAGGGUGACCGGCCACAUUGGGACUGGGAUAAGGCACAGACUACUACGGGAGGCAGAAGUGGAGAAGAUUGCAAAAUGGGCGGAAGCAUGAUGCAGCAACGCCGCGUGCGGGAUGACGGCCUUCGGGUUGUAAACCGAUUUCGCCUGUGACGAAGCGUGAGUGACGGUAAUGGGUAAAGAAGCACCGGCUAACUACGUG
RNAcentral lists this ribosomal RNA (468 nucleotides) under uncultured bacterium. RNAcentral describes it as "partial 16S ribosomal RNA". It matches the Rfam family "Bacterial small subunit ribosomal RNA", at positions 28 to 507 of the family's 1533-position model. The record is from RNAcentral.